RNAcentral lists this unclassified non-coding RNA (417 nucleotides) under Hevea brasiliensis (rubber tree). The record is from RNAcentral. Lineage: Eukaryota; Viridiplantae; Streptophyta; Magnoliopsida; Malpighiales; Euphorbiaceae.
CAACCAACUUGUUAGAGAUCCCAAGAAACGAACACGCAUUUUGGCAAGUGAAAAAGUUCGAUGGAGUUUGCACACUGCCAGAUCACGAUUGGCUAGAAAGCGAAAGUAUUGUCAAUUUUUCACAAGAUUUGGGAAAUGCAACAAAGACGAUGGAAAAUGCCCUUACAUUCAUGAUUCCUCCAAAAUUGCUGUCUGCACAAAGUUUCUAAAUGGUUUAUGUUUUAAUUCAGACUGCAAAUUGACUCACAAGGUGAUUCCAGAAAGGAUGCCAGAUUGCUCUUACUAUUUGCAAGGUCUUUGCACCAAUAAAAAUUGCCCAUACAGGCAUGUGCAUGUGAAUCCAAAUGCAUUUACUUGUGAAGGAUUUUUGAGGGGAUAUUGUGCUGAUGGCAAUGAGUGUCGGAAGAAGCACAGCUA